Molecule: ribosomal RNA, 463 nt
Filed under: uncultured bacterium
Lineage: Bacteria
Description: partial 16S ribosomal RNA
Rfam family: Bacterial small subunit ribosomal RNA
Source: RNAcentral
AGUGAACGCUGGCGGCGUGCCUAAUACAUGCGAGUCGAACGAUGAAGUCCUAGCUUGCUAGGAUGGAUUAGUGGCGCACGGGUGAGUAAUAUAUAGUUAAUCUGCCCUACACAGAGGAACAACAGUUGGAAACGACUGCUAAUACCUCAUACUCCUAUUUGACAUAAGUUAAAUAGGGAAAGUCUUUUCGGUGUAGGAUGAGACUAUAUCGUAUCAGCUAGUUGGUAAGGUAAUGGCUUACCAAGGCUAUGACGCGUAACUGGUCUGAGAGGAUGAUCAGUCACAUUGGAACUGAGACACGGUCCAAACUCCUACGGGAGGCAGCAGUAAGGAAUAUUGCGCAAUGGGGGAAACCCUGACGCAGCAACGCCGCGUGGAGGAUGACACUUUUCGGAGCGUAAACUCCUUUUAUCAGGAAAGAAUAAUGACGGUACCUGAUGAAUAAGCACCGGCUAACUCCGUG